Molecule: long non-coding RNA, 863 nt
Filed under: Vigna radiata
Lineage: Eukaryota; Viridiplantae; Streptophyta; Magnoliopsida; Fabales; Fabaceae
Description: long non-coding RNA (VRAD_LNC003546)
Source: RNAcentral
ACAUUUUGAGUAAACUGAGAAAGCUAGAACACUGAGUAGUCAGAGGAACGUUCUUGAGAGCUUUUUGUUUACUGUGUUCCCUUGCCUGGUCUUGUGAAAGGAGAGGCUUACGUAUCGUGUGCCGAUAGUCGAAGUGGACUCUCUUCAAGUUGGCAAGGCUCUCUACCUGGUCUUGUGAAAGGAGAAGCACGUGAAUCGUGUGUCGAUGCCGGUGCAGGUUCUCUUCAAGUUGGUAGAGUGGUUUCCUUCAUUCUAUUUCUGUAUCUUUUAUUGUAAACUGUUAAAUCUCUUUUUAGUGGAACUGUUAAUCACUCCUUGUAGUGAUUAACGACUGGACGUAGAUUUUGUUGAAUCGAACCAGUAUAAAAAUCCUUGUGUGUUUUUCUUUUGCCCUACACUCAUUUUAUUUUAACGCACGUUAUCUGCUUGGUAAAUUUUCUGAAAGAAAAUUGUUUUUUAUAAAAAGGCUAAAUUCGUUUCAACUGUGACUUAUUACGCUCUACGCUCUCUGUGUUUUAAUCCGCUGCGCUAAACUCUUUUAAAAAUUAACCCCUCCGAUACCAACAAUUUAGACUCGGCUCAUGCGGGUUGAACCCGUGGUGAGCCGGGUUGGCCCACCAACCCACCUACCUAAUUUUAUUUUUUUAAUUUAUUAUUUAAUUUAUGAAACCCUAAAAAAUAAAAUAUUUUUUUCACUCACUGUGUAUACAAAAAAAGUAACCUCUGAUCUCACAAAUCACUCUCACGGUACUUGCUCUCAUUUGACGAUGCUCACUUCACUGAAAUUCUUCAAGGAGCAGGUAAAACACCCUUUCUUUUUUCUUCUCUUUUCUCCACAUUUUUGUUUUCUCACUUCUCUUUCU